GUCCUCACGCUUACACACGUGUCCCUUACCACAGAGCCACCACCCCAGCCCCCUGCCGCAGCUGGGACAUCGCUUUCAACACGUGACGUCUGGGGUCCACCGUCAAAACGGCACCCAGUGACACAUUUCUCACUAACCUGCCUGUGAAGCUCUUAGUUUAUCCAUCAGCACACAUGUGACGACUCUCUACCUGGAAACCGCAAAAUGAGUUUCUCCUUUCCACUUUUGAUGCAGCGCUCUGGACUACGGGCGUGGGUGGGACCGAGUUUACAGUGGCUCGGAUGACAGUUCUUCUGCUCUCUGAGGGUUUUACCGGGGCGUGGAAGGCAUUUUGAGUUUACCAAUGCGUUUGCCUUCUGAACCAGCCUCGACCGCAGACUUCGGAGUGUACACUGAAGUUUCUAACUAGGAAAAAAAAAUGUGUUUAUGUGGGCCUGGAGAUACAUCUAAAAUCCGGGAUGGCCACGUGGAGACAAGUGGAAGAAGAAGUUGGCUGCCAAAGAAACUGGACAAUAAAAAUGCAAGAACAAAAUAUCAAUGAAAGUGAAGAGUGUAGAGGUCACAAGGAAAAGAAUUAUUAAGAAUGGUGAUAAAGAAGUUCAAGUCAAAAGUCUUAAAGUUGCUAUCUGCCCACUUCAGCAAACGCUAAUUGCAACUCUCAAAUUUAGUUCCCUUAACCAUAUAAUUGAAGGGUUAAUAAUGCAGACGUCAUAGGAAAGUUCAUGACAGAAACCAAGAUAAUGAGCCCACAGUAAGUGCUUGACACGAGGUAGCCAUUUCAGUUGUUACACAUCAGGAGCUGCAAAUGACGCUGAGUCACUAAUCUCCAGACUCAAGACAAACUCAGCAGGUGAAAAUUACCCAACUGUCUAUUUCCAUCUGCAAAGAACUCUGUGAAAUAAAGACACUUUUUCCUUUCAGGACAAUCCCACGGCUCUUCCUAUUUGCCUCAUUUUAUGAAUCUCGGUGUUUCCGGGCUUCUAAAAGGAGAUAAAUACAAAACAACCAACAGAUAAGAGCAACCUUGGGACUUCUCAGUAAGCUUAGAUGCUUCAGAUGGCUAUAUUCAAGGAAGGUGCUGGAGGUCAGGUUCUUGACUUGGAAUGGAAAACACCACAAGGAGGCCAUCCUUUAAAGGAAGAAGAUGAAGUUCCCUCUCCGUCUCCUGAACCAAUCUGUAGGGUAAUUCACAAACACAAGCACCACCAAACAGGUGAUCCCUGGACUCUGUCAGCCAGUGUCCAUGACAGAGACCAUCCCUAACAGUCACCAACAAUUUAUGGGACUUUUUCAUUGACUCUUUUGUGGACUUCCAGGAAGGAAAUGAGCUCUCCAAACAGAUGUUAAAUAAACACAAAUAUUCAU
Molecule: long non-coding RNA, 1365 nt
Organism: Mesocricetus auratus (golden hamster)
Lineage: Eukaryota; Metazoa; Chordata; Mammalia; Rodentia; Cricetidae
Exons: 3
Source: RefSeq, a predicted model, not a curated record